CCUACGGGAGGCAGCAGUAGGGAAUCUUCCACAAUGGGCGAAAGCCUGAUGGAGCAACGCCGCGUGGGUGCAGAAGGUCUUCGGAUCGUAAAACCCUGUUGUUAGAGAAGAAAGUGCGUGAGAGUAACUGUUCACGUUUCGACGGUAUCUAACCAGAAAGCAACGGCUAACUCCGUGCCAGCAGCCGCGGUAAUACGUAGGUGGCAAGCGUUAUCCGGAUUUACUGGGCUUAAAGGGAACGCAGGCGGUCUUUUAAGUCUGAUGUGAAAGCCUUCGGUUUAACCGGAGUAGUGCAUUGGAAACUGGGGAACUUGAGUGCAGAAGAGGAGAGUGGAACUCCAUGUGUAGCGGUGAAAUGCGUAGAUAUAUGGAAGAACACCAGUGGCGAAAGCGGCUCUCUGGUCUGUAACUGACGCUGAGGUUCGAAAGCGUGGGUAGCAAACAGGAUUAGAUACCCGAGUAGUC
This 465-nucleotide ribosomal RNA is filed under the name uncultured bacterium. RNAcentral describes it as "partial 16S ribosomal RNA". It matches the Rfam family "Bacterial small subunit ribosomal RNA", at positions 338 to 795 of the family's 1533-position model. The record is from RNAcentral.